UCUAUCCAAGAUUGUUAGGGAUAUAUUUGCAGCUCCGAUGUCAAGUGUGCCUUCAGAAUCUGCAUUUAGUGCUGGGAAGCGAGUUGUCAAUCCUUUUCGGGCUUGUUUGAGUCCCAAAACAGUGGAGGCACUCAUUUGUUGCAAUGAUUGGAUUCGAUGCGAACCUUUCGACUUUUACAAGGAACCAACUGAAGAUUCGAUUGAAUUAUAUGAAUGGUGCGAACAAAUAGAAAAAGAAAUGGAAGCAUUGCAAAUUUUUGCAAGUAAAGAACCUACUGAAACUGCCCUUGCAAGUUCAAAGUGAGCCAGUGAGCACUACGUCACUGCCCAAUUGCUGCCCACUCCAGUACUACUGCCUACUUGCUGGCAGCUGCUACCUACUAUUGUUUACUACUUUACUUGUUUGAUUUUGAACCCUUUUGUUUUGGAAUUUGGAUGACUGUAUUCACUGUAAUAUUAUACACUUUGUUUGAUACUUGAGUGUUUUGAUACUUUGAUACUUGGUGGAUAGUUGGAUGACUGUAAUUGUGUUUGUGUUUUUAGUUCACUUUGAAUAUCGGAAGUUGGAACAAAUAUUAGUUAUUAUAGCUUUGAUAGUUUGAUUGAUACA
Long non-coding RNA from Tripterygium wilfordii, 610 nucleotides. RefSeq lists it as uncharacterized. The transcript is spliced from 3 exons. NCBI's taxonomy places the organism in Eukaryota, Viridiplantae, Streptophyta, Magnoliopsida, Celastrales, Celastraceae. The record is from RefSeq and is a predicted model, not a curated record.